RNAcentral lists this long non-coding RNA (1155 nucleotides) under Setaria viridis. Its description in RNAcentral is "long non-coding RNA (SVIR_LNC010303)". Lineage: Eukaryota; Viridiplantae; Streptophyta; Magnoliopsida; Poales; Poaceae. The record is from RNAcentral.
GAGCUGGCAGCAGAAAGAGCACUGGAGAACUUCCUUGCCUUGAUGAUUGCAGCACCACGCUGCUGGACGGUCGUGAUGAAUUCCCCAUUUAGCCUGUUAGAAAGAAAGGGCGACCAUCAGUUCCUAUCUACCAGGAAAUAGAAACAGACACCGAUAUCAUAAAUUGUGGCAUUUGAGAUUUACCAUUCAUCAUCAGCAACAAGUUCACGAACAGGCUUAUCUCCACUGGAAGUCUUCACUGUGGCAUGGUUAACAUCAGGGUACUGAGAGGAUGAGUGGUUACCCCAUAUAAUAACAUUCUUCACAUCACUGACUUGGACAUUAAGUCUCUCAGAAAUUUGGCCAAGAGCCCUGUUGUGGUCCAGACGGGUCAAGCAGGUAACAUUCCUCUCAGGAAUAGAUGGAGCAAAUUCUUUCAAGAUAAGAGCAUUGGUAUUUGCUGGGUUGGCAACAACCAGAACCUGCAGAGCACAGACAAGGUAUUGCAAAUCAACAAGUAGAAACAGCAAAGAAACAUAAUGAAGCAGACAUGGCUCCUCCGAAAAACAAGGGUACAUAAUAACUGAAAUUUAGAUAGAUCAUUUGAGUUCACAUUUUAUUGAGGAUACUUGUCAAGGUACAAGGCAAUGCAGAUAAUCACGGUCAUUCAAGCUCAUAAAAUGAUAAAAUUGGGUAAGCCCAUUUCAUAGUGGCCGUAGAGUGCACUAUGAAUGUAUCACCACCCAGAUGAUUAAAUCACAUGACAACAAUGUAUCCUAAAUGACUAGACUCAGUGCGUGGUGACGAUGGAUCACAUCAAUAAUGAGCCCUCUUCCACCUAUAUGUAGUUUGAGAUUAAGUUUCUUUUGAAGUGGACAACCUACAUGACUGAACCCAGUGUGAUAGAUGACAGUGCAUCACCACCUUGACAAAAUUAAGUGCAUGAUGACAGCUACUAUAAAAAUUGAAGGGUGUAUAUGAUGCAGAUGCAGCCUAUACCUUGCAGUUGGGGGCCGCAUGAGCUUCGAGGGCAGAUGCUUGACCUUUGUAGAUUGAAACAUUUUUCGACAUAACAUCUUUCCUCUCCAUUCCCUCCUUCCUGGGGAAUCCACCAACCAUGACCGCAACAUUCACACCAGUGCAGGCCUCCACAACAUCAGUUGUCGCGACGACUCC